CGCGUGCGGAGUGCCUACACAUGCAGUCGGAGAGAAAGAGGGGCAACCCUUAAGUAGAGUGGCAGACGGGUGAGUAACGCGUGGGUAACUUCCUUCAGGUGUGGAAUAACCUUCCGAAAGGAAGGCUAAUACCGCAUAACAUCAUGAGGUCUCUGGACCUUAUGUUCAAAGCCGGGGAUUCUUCGGAACCCGGCGCCUGGAAAUAGGCCCGCGUCUCAUUAGCCAGUUGGUGAGGUAACGGCUCACCAAAGCGACGAUGGGUAGCCGGCCUGAGAGGGCGAUCGGCCACACUGGGACUGAGACGCGGCCCAGACUCCUACGGGAGGCAGCAGUGAGGAAUUUUGCGCAAUGGGCGAAAGCCUGACGCAGCGACGCCGCGUGGGUGAUGAAGGUCUUCGGAUUGUAAAACCCUGUCGAGCGGGAAGAAAUGCAUAAAGGAUAAUACCUUUUAUGCUUGACUGUACCGCUGGAGGAAGCUCCGGCUAACUACGUGCCAGCAGCCGCGGUAAUACGUAGGGAGCAAGCGUUGUUCGGAAUUAUUGGGCGUAAAGGGCGUGUAGGCGGUUAUGUAAGUCAAAUGUGAAAUCCCACAGCUUAACUAUGGAACUGCGUUUGAUACUGCACAACUUGAGCUCGGGAGAGGGAAGUGGAAUUCCUGGUGUAGCGGUGAAAUGCGUAGAGAUCAGGAGGAACACCGGUGGCGAAGGCGGCUUCCUGGACCGAUACUGACGCUGAGGCGCGAAAGCUAGGGGAGCAAACAGGAUUAGAUACCCUGGUAGUCCUAGCUGUAAACGAUGGGCACUUGGUGUUGCGGGUAUCGACCCCCGCAGUGCCGAAGCUAACGCACUAAGUGCCCCGCCUGGGAGUACGGUCGCAAGGCUGA
RNAcentral lists this ribosomal RNA (883 nucleotides) under uncultured bacterium. RNAcentral describes it as "bacterial SSU rRNA". It matches the Rfam family "Bacterial small subunit ribosomal RNA", at positions 34 to 897 of the family's 1533-position model. The record is from RNAcentral.